RNAcentral lists this ribosomal RNA (845 nucleotides) under uncultured bacterium. RNAcentral's name for it is "bacterial SSU rRNA". It matches the Rfam family "Bacterial small subunit ribosomal RNA", at positions 547 to 1397 of the family's 1533-position model. The record is from RNAcentral.
GGAUUUACUGGGCGUAAAGCGCGCGUAGGUGGUUAAUUAAGUCAAAUGUGAAAUCCCCGAGCUUAACUUGGGAAUUGCUUCGAUACUGGUAGCUAGAGUAUGGGAGAGGAUGGUAGAAUUCCAGGUGUAGCGUGAAUGCGUAGAGAUCUGGAGGAAUACCGAUGGCGAAGGCAGCCAUCUGGCCUAAUACUGACACUGAGGUGCGAAAGCAUGGGGAGCAAACAGGAUAGAUACCCUGGUAGUCCAUGCCGUAAACGAUGUCUACUAGCCGUUGGGGGAUUUGAUCCUUUAGUGGCGCAGCUAACGCGAUAAGUAGACCGCCUGGGGAGUACGGUCGCAAGACUAAAACUCAAAUGAAUUGACGGGGGCCCGCACAAGCGGUGGAGCAUGUGGUUUAAUUCGAUGCAACGCGAAGAACCUUACCUGGCCUUGACAUAGUAGAAACUUUCCAGAGAUGGAAAGGUGCCUUCGGGAAUCUACAUACAGGUGCUGCAUGGCUGUCGUCAGCUCGUGUCGUGAGAUGUUGGGUUAAGUCCCGCAACGAGCGCAACCCUUUUCCUUACUUGCCAGCAUUUCGGAUGGGAACUUUAAGGAUACUGCCAGUGACAAACUGGAGGAAGGCGGGGACGACGUCAAGUCAUCAUGGCCCUUACGGCCAGGGCUACACACGUGCUACAAUGGUCGGUACAAAGGGUUGCUACACAGCGAUGUGAUGCUAAUCUCAAAAAGCCGAUCGUAGUCCGGAUCGCAGUCUGCAACUCGACUGCGUGAAGUCGGAAUCGCUAGUAAUCGCGGAUCAGAAUGCCGCGGUGAAUACGUUCCCGGGCCUUGUACACACCGCCCGU